CGGACGGGUGAGUAACGCGUGGGCAACCUGCCUUACACAGGGGGACAACAGCUGGAAACGGCUGCUAAUACCGCAUAAGCGCACGGUCUCGCAUGAGACAGUGUGAAAAACUCCGGUGGUGUAAGAUGGGCCCGCGUCUGAUUAGCUGGUUGGUGGGGUAACGGCCUACCAAGGCGACGAUCAGUAGCCGACCUGAGAGGGUGACCGGCCACAUUGGGACUGAGACACGGCCCAAACUCCUACGGAAGGCAGCAG
Molecule: ribosomal RNA, 255 nt
Filed under: uncultured bacterium
Lineage: Bacteria
Description: partial 16S ribosomal RNA
Rfam family: Bacterial small subunit ribosomal RNA
Source: RNAcentral